RNAcentral lists this ribosomal RNA (253 nucleotides) under uncultured bacterium. Its description in RNAcentral is "partial 16S ribosomal RNA". It matches the Rfam family "Bacterial small subunit ribosomal RNA", at positions 524 to 776 of the family's 1533-position model. The record is from RNAcentral.
UACGGAGGGAGCUAGCGUUGUUCGGAAUUACUGGGCGUAAAGGGCGCGUAGGCGGCCUGUUAAGUCGAACGUGAAAUCCCCGGGCUCAACCCGGGAACUGCGUCCGAUACUGGCAGGCUUGAAUCCGGGAGAGGGAUGUGGAAUUCCAGGUGUAGCGGUGAAAUGCGUAGAUAUCUGGAGGAACACCGAUGGCGAAGGCAAUCCCCUGGACCUGUACUGACGCUCAUGCACGAAAGCGUGGGGAGCAAACAGG